UUCCGGUUGAUCCUGCCGGACCUGACUGCUAUCGGAUUGAUACUAAGCCAUGCGAGUCAUUGUAGCAAUACAAGGCAGACGGCUCAGUAACGCGUAGUCAACCUACCUUAUGGACGGGGAUAACCUCGGGAAACUGAGAAUAAUACCCGAUAGAACAUGAUGCCUGGAAUGGUUUAUGUUUCAAAUAAUUUAUUGCCGUAAGAUGGGACUGCGGCCUAUCAGUUUGUUGGUGAGGUAAUGGCCCACCAAGACUAUUACAGGUACGGGCUCUGAGAGGAGUAGCCCGGAGAUGGGUACUGAGACACGGACCCAGGCCCUAUGGGGCGCAGCAGGCGAGAAAACUUUGCAAUGUGCGAAAGCACGACAAGGUUAAUCCGAGUGGUUUCUGCUAAAGGAACCUUUUGUCAGUCAUAGAAACACUAACGAAUAAGGGGUGGGCAAGUUCUGGUGUCAGCCGCCGCGGUAAAACCAGCACCUCAAGUGGUCAGGAUGAUUAUUGGGCCUAAAGCAUCCGUAGCCUGCUUUGUAAGUUUUCGGUUAAAUCCAUACGCUCAACGUAUGGGCUGCCGGGAAUACUGCAAAGCUAGGGAGUGGGAGAGGUAGACGGUACUCGGUAGGAAGGGGUAAAAUCCUUUGAUCUAUUGAUGACCACCUGUGGCGAAGGCGGUCUACCAGAACACGUCCGACGGUGAGGGAUGAAAGCUGGGGGAGCAAACCGGAUUAGAUACCCGGGUAGUCCCAGCUGUAAACUAUGCAAACUCGGUGAUGCAUUGGCUUGAUGCCAAUGCAGUGCCGCAGGAAAGCCGUUAAGUUUGCCGCCUGGGAAGUACGUACGCAAGUAUGAAACUUAAAGGAAUUGGCGGGGGAGCACCACAAGGGGUGAAGCCUGCGGUUCAAUUGGAUUCAACGCCGGGCGAGCGGAAGC
This 925-nucleotide ribosomal RNA is filed under the name uncultured archaeon. RNAcentral's name for it is "bacterial SSU rRNA". It matches the Rfam family "Archaeal small subunit ribosomal RNA", at positions 1 to 937 of the family's 1478-position model. The record is from RNAcentral.